Molecule: small nuclear RNA, 135 nt
Filed under: Heterocephalus glaber (naked mole-rat)
Lineage: Eukaryota; Metazoa; Chordata; Mammalia; Rodentia; Bathyergidae
Description: U2 spliceosomal RNA
Rfam family: U2 spliceosomal RNA
About the family: U2 is a small nuclear RNA (snRNA) component of the spliceosome (involved in pre-mRNA splicing). Complementary binding between U2 snRNA (in an area lying towards the 5' end but 3' to hairpin I) and the branchpoint sequence (BPS) of the intron results the bulging out of an unpaired adenosine, on the BPS, which initiates a nucleophilic attack at the intronic 5' splice site, thus starting the first of two transesterification reactions that mediate splicing.
Source: Rfam by way of RNAcentral
AUUGCUUCUCUGCCUUUUGGCUAAGAUCAAGUGUAACACAAUUUCUUAGUACGUUUUGUAAGUCUUGUAUUACUUAAAAUUAUUUUUGUUUAGCCCUCACACAUGAAUGAAACGUUACCUAGGUGUGUAACCAUU